CUGCAGAAUCUGCAUUAAACUGUAUUUUCCAAAGUACUGAACAGAUCUGGGUGAAUUUUGGAUAUGUGGUUCACCCAGAUCCCCCGGUUCCAAGGAUAUACUUUUUAUGGGGUUAUUGCAUGUUUUGGGGUCCCUGUGUGUUUUAUGAAACUGUAUUAUUUCUGGCCAGCAGAUAAUUGAGCUUUGUGUAUUGUAGAAACUCAAUUAUCUAGCCUGGCCCAGAGGAGGAGUUUUGUGUUGCAUAAAUUGUGAGUUCUGUGUGCCAGUAAAUCAGUCUUGUUCCAGCAUUAAGCCUUGGCUCAUGUUUGGGGGAUUGGAGAAAUACACUCUGGGGAUUGCUAUAAUCACUAUACUCCCCAGGGUAUGAUCACUAAGUUCUGCUAAGAGCUUGUUCCUGUUCCUGCUCUCUGGGGAAAGAGAGGUUCACCCACUGGAAGCUGGAUCCUGGCCUUGGGUCCAGGGUGGUUGGAGACAGC
Molecule: long non-coding RNA, 476 nt
Filed under: Pelobates cultripes (western spadefoot toad)
Lineage: Eukaryota; Metazoa; Chordata; Amphibia; Anura; Pelobatidae
Source: RNAcentral